CUGGGAUUGAUUUUGGGGGUAAUUGCCUCAAAAUAUUAGGAAUUAGGGGCCAAAAAACAAGCAUUUUUCUAGUUUCAUGACAAUAACUUGUGUGUAAGUGUAUGGAUCUUUCUGAAAUUGUACUACAAGGUUCCAUAUCACAAAGGGAAAGCUGGAAUAGAGUUUGGGGGUAAUUGCCCGAAACGUUUAGGAAUAAGGGGCCAAAAAGGGGCCAAAAAUAAGCAUUUUUCUAGUUUCAUGACAAUAACUUGUGUUCAAGUGUAUGGAUCUCUCUGAAAUUGUACCACAAGGUUCCAUAUCACACAGGGAAUGCUGGGAUUGAUUUUGGGGGUAAUUGCCUCAAAAUAUUAGGAAUUAGGGGCCAAAAAAGGGGCAAAAAACAAGCAUUUUUCUAGUUUCAUGAUAAUAACUUGUGUGUAAGUGUAUGGAUCUUUCUGAAAUUAUACUACAAGGUUCCAUAUCACAAAGGGAAAGCUGGAAUUGAGUUUGGGGGUAAUUGCCCAAAACGUUUAGGAAUAAGGGGCCAAAAAGGGGCCAAAAAUAAGCAUUUUUCUAGUUUCCAGACAAUAACUUGUGUUCAAGUGUAUGGAUCUCUGUGAAAUUGUACUGCAAGGUACCAUACCACAAAGGGAAGGUUGGGAUUGAGUUUGGGGGUGAUGAAUCAUAAGGGGGUUCAAAAAAUUUGGGGGGGGGAUUUUUUUUUUUUUCCUUUUUUUUCUUUUUUUCCUUUUUUUUUUCUUUUAAAAUUUUCCAUUUUAAGUUGGUUAUUUCUGUUUUAUAUUUAAAAGCAAAUAAUUAUGAUAUGGUAGGAGAUACACACCAAACAGGAUGUGUAAAUUAUUAUAUAAUAAGUAUUGUGCAAUAGCAAGAAAUUUUCAAUUGCACAGUAUUGCACAAUAGCAAGAAAUCUUCAAUUGCACAGUAUUGCGCAAUAGCAAGAAAUCUUCAAUUGCACAGUAUUGUGCAAUAGCAAGAAAUAUCCAAUAGCACAAUAUUGCACAAUAGCAAGAAAUUGUCAAUUGUACAGUAUUGCGCAAUAGCAAGAAAUAUUCAAUUGCACAGUAUUGUGCAAAAGAAGAUACUUCGUAUAAAUUGCUUAUUUCUUGACCAAUUUCAAUGGGGUUUUUUAUUCUUGAAUUCUUGGGGUUCUUUAAUAUGCUGAUUCUAACCGUGUAUUAAGUUUUUGGAUUUUGGGCCCCGUUUUUAAAUUGGUCCAAAGGGUCCAAAAUUUAACUUUGUUUGAUUUCAUCAAAAAUUGAAUUAUUGGGGUUCUUUGAUAUGCCGAAUCUAACCGUGUAUUUAGAUUCUUAAUUUUUGGUUCCGUUUUCAAAUUGGUCUACAUUAAGGUCCAAAGGGUCCAAAAUUAAACUUAGUUUGAUUUUAACAAAAAUUGAAUUCUUAGGGUUCUUUGAUAUGCUGAAUCUAAACAUGUAUUUAGAUUUUUGAUUAUGGGCCCAGUUUUCAAAUUGGUCUACAUUAAGGUCCAAAGGGUCCAAAAUUAAACUUUUUUGUUUGAUUUUAGCAAAAAUUGAAUAUAUGAGGUUCUUUGAUAUGCUGAAUCUGAACAUGUAUUUAGAUUUUUGAUUUUUGGCCCUGUUUUCAAGUUGGUCCAAAUUGGGGUCCAAAAUUAAACUUUGUUUGAUUUCAACAAAAAUUGAAUAUAUGGGGUUCUUUGAUAUGCUGAAUCUAACCAUGUAUUUAGAUUUUUUUUGUGGACCCCGUUAUCAAAUUGGUUCUUAUUAAGGUCAAAAGGGUCCAAAAUUAAACUUAGUCUGAUUUUAACAAAAAUUGAAUUCUUGGGGUUCUUUGAUAUGCUGAAUCUAAACAUGUGUUUAGAUUUUUGAUUAUGGGCCCAGUUUUCAAGUUGGUCCAAGAUAGGGUCCAGUAUUUAAACUUUGUUUGAUUUCAACAAAAAUUGAAUAUAUGGGGUUCUUUGAUAUGCUGAAUCUAAACAUGUAUUUAGAUUUUUGAUUAUGGGUCCAGUUUUCAAGUUGGUCCAAAUUGGGGUCCAAAAUUAAACUUUUUUUGUUUGAUUUCAACAAAAAUUGAAUAUAUGAGGUUCUUUGAUAUGCUGAAUCUAACCAUGUAUUUAGAUUUUUUAUUUGUGAUCCCGCUAUCAAAUUGGUUCAUAUUGAGGUCAAAAGGGUCCAAAAUUAAACUUUGUUUGAUUUCAUCAAAAAUUGAAUUAUUGGGGUUCUUUGAUAUGCCAAAUCUAACCGUGUUUUUAGAUUUUUAAUUUGGGUCCCGUUUUUUAAAUUGGUCUUCAUUGAGGUCCAAAGGGUCCAAAAUUAAACUUAGUUUGAUUUUAACAAAAAUUGAAUUCUUGGGGUUCUUUGAUAUGCUGAAUCUAAACAUGUGUUUAGAUUUUUGAUUAUAGGCCCAGUUUUCAAGUUGGUCCAAGUUGGGGUCCAAAAUUAAACUUUUUUUGAUUUCAACAAAAAUUGAAUAUAUGGGGUUCUUUGAUAUGCUGAAUCUAACCAUGUAUUUAGAUUUUUUAUUUGUGAACCCCAUUAUCAUAUUGGUUCAUAUUAAGGUCAAAAGGGUCCAAAAUUAAACUUUGUUUGAUUUCAUCAAAAAUUGAAUUAUUGGGGUUCUUUGAUAUUCCAAAUCUAACCGUGUAUUUAGAUUUUUAAUUUUAAGUCCCGUUUUUUAAAUUGGUCUACAUUAAAGUCCAAAGGGUCCAAAAUUAAACUUAGUUUGAUUUUAGCAAAAAUUGAAUUCUUGGGGUUCUUUGAUAUGCUGAAUCUAAACAUGUAUUUAGAUUUUUGAUUAUGGGUCCAGUUUUCAAGUUGGUCCAAAUUGGGGUCCAAAAUUAAACUUUGUUUGAUUUCAACAAAAAUUGAAUAUAUGGGGUUCUUUGAUAUGCUGAAUCUAACCAUGUAUUUUGGUUUUGGACAUUGGACCAUAAUAGGUAAAUUAAAAAAAUUGAAGUUCUUAGACCACAUUCUUUCUGUGUCAGAAACCUAUGCUGUGUCAAAUAUUUAAUCACAAUCCAAAUUCAGAGCUGUAUCAAGCUUGAAUGUUGUGUCCAUACUUGCCCCAACUGUUCAGGGUUCGACCUCUGCGGUCGUAUCAAGCUGCGCCCAGCGAAGCAUUUUAUUUAAAUUGGUCUACAUUAAGGUCCAAAGAGUCCAAAAUUAAACUUAGUUUGAUUUUAACAAAAAUUGAAUUCUUGGGGUACUUUGAUAUGCUGAAUCUAAACAUGUGUUUAGAUUUUUGAUUAUGGGACCAGUUUUCAAGUUUGUCCAAGUUGGGGUCCAAAAUUAAACUUUGUUUGAUUUCAACAAAAAUUGAAUAUAUGGGGUUCUUUGAUAUGCUGAAUCUAACCAUGUAUUAUGAUUUUGGACAUUGGACCAUAAUAGGUAAAUUAAAAAAAUUGAAGUUCUUAGACCACAUUCUUUCUGUGUCAGAAACCUAUGCUAUGUCAAAUAUUUAAUCACAAUCCAAAUUCAGAGCUGUAUCAAGCUUGAAUGUUGUGUCCAUACUUGCCCCAACUGUUCAGGGUUCGACCUCUGCGGUCGUAUCAAGCUGCGCCCAGCGAAGCAUUUUAUUCAAGAAUUUUCUACUUAAUAAAGUAGAAUUAUUGGUUCUCUUUAUGAUUUGAAUUUUUUUUUAUGACAAUUUAUACCCAAUACCAUGUCUGAGAAUACAGGACAAUAUUCCUAAAACAAUGAAAAAUAAUGAUCCUUCUUUGAAAGGGGAGAAUUUUUAUAAACGUUUGUUUUGGAGAUAUGACCUUAAAAAUAAUUUUGGAAAAAUAAUUAGUAAUACAUUGUAUAUUCCUUGCUAGCAUCUUUUGUUACUAUAGUACUACAUAAUUGUUUGAAUAUGCAGAUAAUCAUCAGAUUAAGAUUUUCCAACUAUUUAAAUACUGGUAAAGUUAUGUGUGUUUGAUAUUUUAAUUAGAAUGUAUGUUAAAUUUGACCCAGGUAAUCAUGAUACGGUGUUAGUUAGAAAAAGGGCUGACAUAUAAAUUAUUUUAUUCACACUGGUCUGCCUUUGACCCUUAUUAAGGACUAGAAAAUAUAUAUGAUCACAUAUUGUGAUACUUUGGUUAAAAGUAGGUUUUAUGGAAUAAAAUUAUUCCUUUCUGGUAUAAAAUGAAUUUAAUU
This is a long non-coding RNA of Mytilus californianus (California mussel), 4112 nucleotides long. RefSeq lists it as uncharacterized. The record is from RefSeq and is a predicted model, not a curated record. The transcript is spliced from 3 exons. Lineage: Eukaryota; Metazoa; Mollusca; Bivalvia; Mytilida; Mytilidae.